RNAcentral lists this transfer RNA (76 nucleotides) under Candidatus Jidaibacter acanthamoebae. RNAcentral describes it as "Candidatus Jidaibacter acanthamoeba tRNA-Lys". It matches the Rfam family "tRNA". Rfam says of the family: Transfer RNA (tRNA) molecules are approximately 80 nucleotides in length. The record is from RNAcentral. Lineage: Bacteria; Pseudomonadati; Pseudomonadota; Alphaproteobacteria; Rickettsiales; Candidatus Midichloriaceae. RNAcentral also lists the same sequence under 2 other names.
GAUCCCGUAGCUCAGUUGGUAGAGCAAUUGACUUUUAAUCAAUUGGUCACGCGUUCGAGUCGCGUCGGGAUCACCA